Molecule: long non-coding RNA, 316 nt
Organism: Solanum dulcamara
Lineage: Eukaryota; Viridiplantae; Streptophyta; Magnoliopsida; Solanales; Solanaceae
Exons: 2
Source: RefSeq, a predicted model, not a curated record
CAAGGAACUACUUAUGGAAGUAUUCUGAAUGCAAUCAGAUCUUCCAUCCGCAGUUCUGAUAGUGAUUUAGGAAGCAACAUCACCAGUUCUCUUCUCACAAUGCUAAUUACCGGGGGAAGCUCUGGCUUUGGGAUGAGACAGGAGCCCCAGUUGACUGCUAAUGAGCCAUUUGAUGUGAACACCAGAAAGUUUUCACUAUAACAUCUUAAGCAAUCUUACACACCUCCUGCUUUCAUAUAGUUUGGGUGCAUAGAUACCGAUUGAAGUUAUCGGAGAGAGAAAUAAAGUCUUACUAUCAAUUCCUUUUGAAUAAGGC